Nothobranchius furzeri (turquoise killifish) is the source of this 675-nucleotide non-coding RNA. Lineage: Eukaryota; Metazoa; Chordata; Actinopteri; Cyprinodontiformes; Nothobranchiidae. The record is from RefSeq and is a predicted model, not a curated record.
GGCUGUGUCUCAAUUCAGGGUCUGCAUCCUACCUCGGCCGGAUUCGUCGGCCGGUUACGUCACAGCGCCGCGACUCGGCCUGUCCCAAUUCGAAGACUCCUUCAAAUGCGGUCGACGAAUGCGGCCUUCUUUUCGCCUGAAUGAAGGAUGGGUCGGGUGUAUCCUUCAACAGGUAGCAUUUCCCAAGAUGCCUUGCGGCCGGCCGGCAGAAAAACUUAAAAACAAUGGCGGACAGUGAAGCGGGAGCUGUCGGAGAGGAUUGCGCAUAUAAAUGACCAAAAGAGAAAACCAGGGAAUUUAUUAAGCUUAGGGCGGAGAUGGACCACAUGAUCACCGGAGCAAAGUAUUCGGCGGCUGUGGCAUGGAGACUAUUCUGGAGAAAAUGGGCAUCCAGGGGAAGGUGCCAGCGAUGAGCUUCUGGAGCUGAUCUGGGAGGACAUGAGGCUGCAGAGCAGCAGAGAGCACAGGAGAGAAGGAAGAACUUUGACAGCUUUUUACUUUGCUAGAAAAAAUGGUUAAUGAAGAUUAAACAUGUACAUAUAAAAGAAAUAUCUAAAUAAAAUCAGUUCUGCAUUAAACUCUUGAAUUUUAUUUUUGUUUACAAAUGAGAAUUGUUUACUAGAGGGUAUCCGCUGGGUCUUGAAAAGUCUUAAAAGGUGAUAAAUCGGUUUUGGU